GCUUGCUUUGAUGGAUGGCGACCGGCGCACGGGUGAGUAACACGUAUCCAACCUGCCGACAACACUGGGAUAGCCUUUCGAAAGAAAGAUUAAUACCGGAUGGCAUAGUUUUCCCGCAUGGGAUAAUUAUUAAAGAAUUUCGGUUGUCGAUGGGGAUGCGUUCCAUUAGGCAGUUGGCGGGGUAACGGCCCACCAAACCAACGAUGGAUAGGGGUUCUGAGAGGAAGGUCCCCCACAUUGGAACUGAGACACGGUCCAAACUCCUACGGGAGGCAGCAGUGAGGAAUAUUGGUCAAUGGACGAGAGUCUGAACCAGCCAAGUAGCGUGAAGGAUGACUGCCCUAUGGGUUGUAAACUUCUUUUAUACGGGAAUAAAGUGAGCCACGUGUGGCUUUUUGUAUGUACCGUAUGAAUAAGGAUCGGCUAACUCCGUGCCAGCAGCCGCGGUAAUACGGAGGAUCCGAGCGUUAUCCGGAUUUAUUGGGUUUAAAGGGAGCGUAGGCGGGUUGUUAAGUCAGUUGUGAAAGUUUGCGGCUCAACCGUAAAAUUGCAGUUGAUACUGGCGACCUUGAGUGCAACAGAGGUAGGCGGAAUUCGUGGUGUAGCGGUGAAAUGCUUAGAUAUCACGAAGAACUCCGAUUGCGAAGGCAGCUUACUGGAUUGUAACUGACGCUGAUGCUCGAAAGUGUGGGUAUCAAACAGGAUUAGAUACCCUGGUAGUCCACACAGUAAACGAUGAAUACUCGCUGUUGGCGAUAUACGGUCAGCGGCCAAGCGAAAGCAUUAAGUAUUCCACCUGGGGAGUACGCCGGCAACGGUGAAACUCAAAGGAAUUGACGGGGGCCCGCACAAGCGGAGGAACAUGUGGUUUAAUUCGAUGAUACGCGAGGAACCUUACCCGGGCUUAAAUUGCAACUGACGGAAU
RNAcentral lists this ribosomal RNA (925 nucleotides) under Bacteroides stercoris. RNAcentral describes it as "bacterial SSU rRNA". It matches the Rfam family "Bacterial small subunit ribosomal RNA", at positions 78 to 1001 of the family's 1533-position model. The record is from RNAcentral. Lineage: Bacteria; Pseudomonadati; Bacteroidota; Bacteroidia; Bacteroidales; Bacteroidaceae.